GCUAAGUUAGUUUAUUAAAAAUACCAGCCUGUGGAUUUGGAGAAGAAAAAUAAUUUCACUUAGUC
Molecule: transfer RNA, 65 nt
Filed under: Laevistrombus canarium
Lineage: Eukaryota; Metazoa; Mollusca; Gastropoda; Littorinimorpha; Strombidae
Description: tRNA-His
Source: RNAcentral